Molecule: ribosomal RNA, 253 nt
Filed under: uncultured bacterium
Lineage: Bacteria
Description: partial 16S ribosomal RNA
Rfam family: Bacterial small subunit ribosomal RNA
Source: RNAcentral
UACGUAGGUGGCAAGCGUUGUCCGGAUUUAUUGGGCGUAAAGCGCGCGCAGGUGGUUUCUUAAGUCUGAUGUGAAAGCCCACGGCUCAACCGUGGAAGGUCAUUGGAAACUGGGGAACUUGAGUGCAGAAGAGGAAAGUGGAAUUCCAAGUGUAGCGGUGAAAUGCGUAGAUAUUUGGAGGAACACCAGUGGCGAAGGCGACUUUCUGGUCUGUAACUGACACUGAGGCGCGAAAGCGUGGGGAGCAAACAGG